ACAGACAAAUUGGAUGUGUCAGUGAGUGCCUAGUUGACAUUUCAAUGGGAGGCUGGUGGUGUUCUUCGGGAUUAUUAUCCAGGACUGCAGUUAUACCUUAGCUCCCAGAGGGGAACUUGCAUGGAAAUGCCGCUGUGAAUUGGAAGGGCCUUUGGAUCUCAGGAAAAGCCCUUGAAGGAGACUCGGCUGGAAACUGAAUGGAUGUCAGGAAAAUUUCUCUAGCCUGGAAUCUCUCUUCAGAUAUGGACUCUCCUCCCCCUUCAUUUCUGCUUUCCCUUCCUUCCCUCCCCCCUUCCUUCCCAACCCACAAGGCUUAAGAGCCACAACAUCCAGCUCUUACUGAAGGUUUAGUUCCAAACCCCUAAAGGAAGGAAUACUGACCUGAACGAAACAGAGAACAAAGUAACCUGAAAACAGGGAAUAUUUUCACAAGCUUGAGUUUUCAGUGCAAUAAAGCCAGAGCUGCCAGAAGGAGUCCCAGAAGUGGUUUUUCAGAAUAUUUUGCCUGCCUCUUUGCCUCUGGUACCUGGGAGUGAGCACAUGACCAUCCAUCUCUUCAGGGAUUCCAAGCAGAUACUCUGUUAUUCAAGGACUAAAACUGCCUUAGAGGUUUAGAAAAUGAAAAACAUUAGAAAGAAGUGAAGGGAGGAAGAGAACUGAGGAAGAGUUAGGACAAAAGGUGUUUUAGGAAGCUGGGAACAGCACAUCACCAGCACUAAACUGAAGCAAGCAAGCAAAAAAAAAAAGAAACUAUGUGAAAGAACACCUCUUCCUUCCCCCAAAACUGAAC
Chiroxiphia lanceolata (lance-tailed manakin) is the source of this 790-nucleotide long non-coding RNA. RefSeq lists it as uncharacterized. NCBI's taxonomy places the organism in Eukaryota, Metazoa, Chordata, Aves, Passeriformes, Pipridae. The transcript is spliced from 5 exons. The record is from RefSeq and is a predicted model, not a curated record.